Molecule: ribosomal RNA, 589 nt
Filed under: uncultured bacterium
Lineage: Bacteria
Description: partial 16S ribosomal RNA
Rfam family: Bacterial small subunit ribosomal RNA
Source: RNAcentral
UGGGGAAUCUUCCGCAAUGGAUGAAAGUCUGACGGAGCAACGCCGCGUGUAUGAUGAAGGUCUUCGGAUUGUAAAGUACUGUCAUUGGGGAAGAACGGUUUUCUUGAAAAGAUUGAGAAGACAUGACGGUACCCAAGGAGGAAGCCCCGGCUAACUACGUGCCAGCAGCCGCGGUAAUACGUAGGGGGCAAGCGUUGUCCGGAAUUAUUGGGCGUAAAGGGCGCGUAGGCGGGCCUUUAAGUCCGGUGUGAAAGAUCAGGGCUCAACCCUGAGAGUGCAUCGGAAACUGGAGGCCUUGAGGACAGGAGAGGAAAGUGGAAUUCCACGUGUAGCGGUGAAAUGCGUAGAUAUGUGGAGGAACACCAGUGGCGAAGGCGACUUUCUGGACUGUAACUGACGCUGAGGCGCGAAAGCGUGGGGAGCAAACAGGAUUAGAUACCCUGGUAGUCCACGCCGUAAACGAUGAGUGCUAGGUGUAGAGGGUAUCGACCCCUUCUGUGCCGCAGUUAACACAAUAAGCACUCCGCCUGGGGAGUACGGCCGCAAGGUUGAAACUUAAAGGAAUUGACGGGGUCAAAGCUGUUUUCCU